GUCAGCCUUGUCAUUGAAAACUCAUACAAAACCCAUAUACUCACAGCACUUCUGGGCAGCUUCGAUGCACAGCUCCUCAGAGGUAAACUCGCCACUGGUAUAACAAAUGGGGCUUUUAUCUUGCAGGUAGAAGAGUACCUCUAAGCCCUGGUGCUGAGCUUCCAAGUUUACUUCGCUCUUCUUCGUGCUCCUCAUUUUUGCACAGAAAGCCAUGGCUUUGCAGUCUUCUUUUACGUUUAGAUACUGCAUUUAUGUGUCUGUCUGAUCCUCAAUGCAACUGAAACAGAUUAUCUUCACGCUCUCCAAGGGUAACUUGUGUCUGGCUCUUUCGUCGCACCUCGGGCGGCCGUACCCCUCAGCCUCUCGCCCCAACGGGCCGGGGGACGGCACGGCCCGGGGUCAGCGAGAGCGGAGCCCGCAGCGCUCGACAGCGGCAGGGCGGCGGUCCGG
This 450-nucleotide long non-coding RNA is filed under the name Gallus gallus (chicken). Lineage: Eukaryota; Metazoa; Chordata; Aves; Galliformes; Phasianidae. The record is from RNAcentral.